This 1376-nucleotide long non-coding RNA is filed under the name Bos taurus (domestic cattle). Its description in RNAcentral is "long non-coding RNA NONBTAT024463". Lineage: Eukaryota; Metazoa; Chordata; Mammalia; Artiodactyla; Bovidae. The record is from RNAcentral.
ACAAACUUAUGGCCAAAAAUACUGUAUUUUUAACCAGCAAGAUCAUUGGGGCAUUAUUAUACAACAUUAGGUGUUUUUUUUUUUGCAAAACUAGUUCCCAUCCCCAAACAAUAGACAAUACAUGCAUUUGAAUGACAUUUUAAGAACAGUAAAUAUGAUUCUUUUAAAUACUGCAAGUUAAAAAUGUUUUCUGACAAAACUCCCUAAAUACAUAAGUCUAGGAAGGGUUUCCAACAUGAUGACAGGUGAGGAAUCCAGCAAGUUGCAUUUAGAGAGUUCUUUGAGGAAAAGAAAUCCACCAAAAACAUGUGUUUCAGUCAAAGUAACCUGAACAAAGUUACAUAGUAAUUUUCCAUCUUUCUUUUCUAAAUUUAAAAAUAUUGUACUGAAGAAUAUCUUCCUCCCUGUUUUUUUUUUUUUCUGUCUACCAAAGCUUAUAUGGAAGUUAGAAUUCCUUCAUCCAAGUGAGAUCCAAUUUUACCCAUAGAUGUUUUCAUAACGUGUACAUGUUGUUUACUAUUGGGUUGGAAUCAUACAGGGAAAUGGAGGAUCCAUGGUAAGGGAGGUAAGAAGAAAAUUAAUACUUGAGCACCUACUAUGUGCUAGGUGUGUAUGCAUACUUUGAACAGAUGAUUCUAGAGGCAAGAGGGUUACUGAAGAGCAUUGGUAGUUGAGACAGCAAGAAAUUGUUAUCCUGUGAGAAAAACAAAUGGCAACUUUAUACUAAGUAUCUACGAAGCAGCAGGUGCCUGGCUCCAAAAAUCUCUAGCUAAUCGUAUACAACUAAGCCAUUUCUUUUCCUAAAUUGAUGGAAUCAAAAUGAAAUCCCAAAGACAUAGUUACCAGGACAGAUCUAUUAAUGCUACAUAUGCUGGAAAUAUGUAGAGAUAGAUAAACAUACAAUAUUACUAGUUUCAAUUUUUGUGUGUUUCUAACCAAAGAAAAGUCUUUGGAAGAAAAUAUGUAUACCAAGCACACCUUAUCUGUCAAUUGAGAUGUUGUCAAUUACCAAUUAAGUGGUUUUAAACCCUUAUUUAAUUUUAAGAAGAGCAGCAAUAUACGUUACAAUAUUUGGGUACACUUUAUUUUUAUAUGGGUUAACAUUCUGCUAUAUUUCAUUUCAUUCAUUCUUUUUGAGAAACUGAAAACAAAGGGAAAUUGAGGGUAACUUGAAGAUUAUUUCCAACCAGUAUCUGAGUCUUGCAGUAUCUCAUUAUGCAGCCCUUUCUUGACAAUCAAGAUAGUCUGAAGUACAAAAAGUAAAUUGUCCUUUAGCUGAAUUACCUUUUUAAAUAUCAGACCUGCUAGCUAAUCUACAAAAAAUUACAAGUUUCGGUGUUCUUCAAAUACCUUUUGUAGAUGUCAUCUGCUAGUAA